AGAGUUUGAUCAUGGCUCAGAGCGAACGCUGGCGGCAGGCCUAACACAUGCAAGUCGAGCGGGCGCCGCAAGGUGUCAGCGGCAGACGGGAGAGUAACACGUGGGAACGUGCCCUUCGGUUCGGAAUAACUCGGGGAAACCCGAGCUAAUACCGAAUACGCCCUUACGGGGAAAGAUUUAUCGCCGAUGGAGCGGCCCGCGUCUGAUUAGCUAGUUGGUGAGAUAACGGCUCACCAAGGCUACGAUCAGUAGCUGGUCUGAGAGGAUGAUCAGCCUCACUGGGACUGAGACACGGCCCAGACUCCUACGGGAGGCAGCAGUCGGGAAUUUUGGGCAAUGGGCGAAAGCCUGACCCAGCAACGCCGCGUGAAGGAUGAAAUCCCUCGGGAUGUAAACUUCGUAAGAACGGGAAGAAUAAGUGGGGGACAAUACCCCCCAUGAUGACGGUACCGUUUGUAAGCUCCGGCUAACUCCGUGCCAGCAGCGGCGGUAAUUC
This 496-nucleotide ribosomal RNA is filed under the name uncultured bacterium. RNAcentral's name for it is "bacterial SSU rRNA". It matches the Rfam family "Bacterial small subunit ribosomal RNA", at positions 8 to 526 of the family's 1533-position model. The record is from RNAcentral.